AGCAGCCGCGGUAAUUCCAGCUCCAAUAGCGUAUAUUAAAGUUGUUGCAGUUAAAAAGCUCGUAGUUGAACUUCGGAAUUUAUUCAUUGGUCAGGCUUAACUGUCUGUACUGGUGUAUUGAAUUCCUACCUUCUGACGAAUCUCCAUGUCAUUUACUUGGUGUGGUGGGGAAUCAGGACUGUUACUUUGAAAAAUUAGAGUGUUUAAAGCAGGCUAACGUCUGAAUACAUUAGCAUGGAAUAAUAAAAUAGGACGGUUUGGUUCUAUUUUGUUGGUUUCUAGGAUCACCGUAAUGAUUAAUAGGGAUAGUUGGGGGCAUUAGUAUUCAAUUGUCAGAGGUGAAAUUCUUGGAUUUAUUGAAGACUAACUACUGCGAAAGCAUUUGCCAAGGAUGUUUUUCAUUAAUCAAGAACGAAAGUUAGGGGAUCGAAGACGAUCAGAUACCGUCGU
Molecule: ribosomal RNA, 450 nt
Filed under: uncultured Glomus
Lineage: Eukaryota; Fungi; Glomeromycota; Glomeromycetes; Glomerales; Glomeraceae
Description: SSU rRNA
Rfam family: Eukaryotic small subunit ribosomal RNA
Source: RNAcentral